Long non-coding RNA from Salvelinus namaycush (lake trout), 645 nucleotides. RefSeq lists it as uncharacterized. The record is from RefSeq and is a predicted model, not a curated record. The transcript has 3 exons. Lineage: Eukaryota; Metazoa; Chordata; Actinopteri; Salmoniformes; Salmonidae.
CUACAAUCCCCAGUCUACCAUCACAGGGUUACCUCUAUCUCCCUCUGUCUCUCUCCCCCUGACCAGACCAACCUACAAUCCCCAGUCUACCAUCACAGCGCAGGGUGGAAGCAUUGUAAUUGCCUCAGAUCAACUCCAUAGGAGGUGACAUCAACAUGUCGUCUCUGAACAAAGGACCGUUCGUCCGAGAGCGACAUUGUUCGCCGCGUGACCCCAGACCUCCAGCAUCCAUCUAUUCAGGGAGGCAGGAACAUCAGAAAUCAAGUCGGAGGACAAAAAAUGCAACAUCUAUCCAAAUGCAAAAAUGACUGGACAAGUACUGGAUAGUUUCAGGACAAGUUUCUAAAUGUCCUUGAGUGGCCCAGCCAAAGCCCCGACUUGAACCGAUCGAACAUCUCUGGAGAGACCCGAGCUAUCGGCAUAUUCAACACUGUUCAUGAAAUAUGUUACCUUCAACAGUGUUAUCCUGUGAUCAAGCCAUCAAUGUUUAGUAAUUAUUGGUGUCGUAAAAAUGUUAGCUAACAAGUUAGCAAUUAGCAUGUUAGUAGUAUUUCCAAUGAAAUGUCAAUCAGCUUUUUGAUAAGCAGUUUAGCUAAAAAAUACAUCCCGCAUUAUUACUAAGGGCUCCCAAGUGGCGCAGCGGUC